Molecule: long non-coding RNA, 981 nt
Organism: Homo sapiens (human)
Lineage: Eukaryota; Metazoa; Chordata; Mammalia; Primates; Hominidae
Product: long intergenic non-protein coding RNA 1674
Source: Ensembl
AUUCCAGACUCGUGUGUGGCUGCUUGCGCAGCUGCUCCGUGCCAGGCUUGGAGGACCAGGAGAAGGGGUAGUCACUUGCCACAGCUGGAGGCUGGAGCGUGUGGCACCACGGCUCGCCUCGCUGUGGUGGGCGCUGGCGGCAGAGACGGCAGCUCGGCUGGACUGUUAAACAUUAUGUAAACGAAAGUACAGAACCCUGGCAAAAUUGAAAGGCCCCAAUAUUAUUGGAACUCUUUUAUGAUUCAGCUUUUCAUGGAGUUCUACUUUAUCAUGAAAUCUAGCACACUGGUUCCUUUCAAUUAAUCCCUGAAGGUUAAUAUUUUUGGACCACAGUUGACCUGAGGUAACUGAAACUGCUGAAAACAAAACCAUGGAUAAGGGAGAACUCUUGUAUUAUCACAGAUUAUAUCAAAACUAUGGCUCUAGGCUUUUUAGAAGAGUUUAACAAGUGGAGCUUGAAGAUUUGCUGAGAUUUGUUUUGUGGCCUAACAUCUGAUCUACCCUGAAGACACUUCCAUGUGCUGAUGAGGAGAAUGCAUACUCUUCAGCUGUUGAGUGGGAUGUUCUGUGUAUAUCUGACUCAUCUUCCUUCUUUGAUGACAAGGGCUCUAAAGUGAGUCACCUAAACUGCAGUCUGAGGAGGAGUCAAGGGUACUGCAAAUGUGAGAGCCAGAUUCAGAUACUGGCAUGUGGAACAAGUUGAAGAAUGGCUAAUCUGACGUUCUGUAUUUAUCCAGAAAUUUUAACUAGGCUCCAUGAGUAAGGCUUUGAGGGCACAGUUCAGGGCUUAGCUGAUUCCCCCCAAAUGAGCUCUACUACCAGAAAUUCCCUGGUAGAGAUUAUUUAUUCUCCAGCUUUAGGGCUUUUAUUAGAUGAAAUGUCUUACUUCAUGCUUUAAUUUUAUGGUUCUAUUUUUAACAAUUUCCUGAACAGUACAUUCUACCAUGUCUCAAAAUAAACAAUUUGUUAUAUUUUUAUAAA